ACUGACAGGCGCGUACACCUCUAACUGACAACUGACAGGCGUUCUGACAGGUGCGUUCCUCUGACUGACAACUGACAGGCGUACUGAAAGGCGCGUUCCUCUGACUGACGACUGACAGGCGUACUGAAAGGCGCGUACCUCUGACUGACGACUGACAGGCGCGUACACCUCUAACUGACAACUGACAGGCGUUCUGACAGGUGCGUUCCUCUGACUGACAACUGACAGGCGUACUGAAAGGCGCAUUCCUCUGACUGACAACUGACUGACGCCUGAAAGGCGCAUUCCUCUGACUGACAACUGACUGACGCCUGAAAGGCGCGUUCCUCUGACUGACGCCUGACAGGCGCGUUCCUCUGACUGACGCCUGACAGGCGUACUGACAGGCGCGUUCCUCUGACUGACGCCUGACAGGCGUACUGACAGGCGCGUUCCUCUGACUGACGACUGACAGGCGUACUGACAGGCGCGUUCCUCUGACUGACGACUGACAGGCGUACUGAAAGGCGCGUACCUCUGACUGACGACUGACAGGCGCGUACACCUCUAACUGACAACUGACAGGCGUUCUGACAGGUGCGUUCCUCUUACUGACGCCUGACAGGCGUUCUGACAGGUGCGUUCCUCUUACUGACGCCUGACAGGCGUACUGACAGGCGCGUACCCCUGACUGACGCCUAACAGGCGUACUGACAGGCGCGUACACCUCUGACUGACAGGCGUUCAGACAGGCAUUCAGACAGGCGCGUACACCUCUGACUGACAGGCGUUCAGACAGGCAUUCAGACAGGCGCGUACACCUCUGACUGACGCCUGACAGGCGCGUACACCUCUGACUGACGCCUGACAGGCGCGUACACCUCUGACUGACAGGCGUUCAGACAGGCAUUCAGACAGGCGCGUACCUCUGACUGACAGGCGUACUGACAGGCGCGUACCUCUGACUGACAGGCGUACUGACAGGCGCGUACCUCUGACUGACAGGCGUACUGACAGGCGCGUACCUCUGACUGACAGGCGUACUGACAGGCGCGUACCUCUGACUGACAGGCGUACUGACAGGCGCGUACCUCUGACUGACAGGCGUACUGACAGGCGCGUACCUCUGACUGACAGGCGUACUGACAGGCGCGUACCUCUGACUGACAGGCGUACUGACAGGCGCGUACCUCUGACUGACGACUGACAGGCGUACUGACAGGCGCGUACCUCUGACUGACGACUGACAGGCGUACUGACGGGCGCGUACCUCUGACUGAGGCAAUGAACUCCUCCAGUCGUCCCAGCAGGUGAGCGUCUCUCUCGAAGUCGUAGAAGUGAUGCUCCACCCAGUGACGACACACAUUCAGCACUCUGCAGGAGGGGGAGGAGUUAUCACAGGUCACAUGGAUCAACGACAUCAUCAGUCUAACUUGAUGUUGAGUUUAAAAAAUCGUCGCUAGGAACUGAAACCUGGAUUUUCUCUCUAACUGGAACCAGACGAGCGAAUUCUUUCCAGGAAACUGAAGACUGAUUAAAAACACUGUGUCAAAGCUCAAACAACUUGAAAGUCGAAACCAGGAAACACAGAAACUGCCAGUUUAACUCCAAGACUCGUCCUGACGAGUCCUAAACGUCUCAGAGUAGUCAAAGACGUGUUAGGUCCUGGUCUGAGAGAUGUUUAGGACUCGUCAGGUCCUGGUCUGAGAGACGUUUAGGACUCGUCAGGUCCUGGUCUGAGAGACGUUUAGGACUCGUCAGGUCCUGGUCUGAGAGAAGUCAAAGACGUAUUAGGUCCUGGUCUGAAAGACGUUUAGGACUCGUCAGGUCCUGGUUUGAGAGAAGUCAAAGACGUAUUAGGUCCUGGCCUGAGGCACGUUUAGGACUCGUCAGGUCCUGGCCUGAGGCACGUUUAGGACUCGUCAGGUCCUGGCCUGAGGGACGUUUAGGACUCGUCAGGUCCUGGCCUGAGGGACGUUUAGGACUCGUCAGGUCCUGGCCUGAGGGACGUUUAGAACUCGUCAGAUCCUGGUCUGAAAGACGUUUAGGACUCGUCAGGUCCUGGUCUGAGAGACGUUUGAGACUCGUCAGGUCCUGGUGUAAGAGAAGUCAAAGACUCGUCAGGUCCUGGUCUGAGAGACGUUUAGGACUCGUCAGGUCCUGGUCUGAGAGACGUUUAGGACUCGUCAGAUCCUGGUGUAAGAGAAGUCAAAGACUUGUCAGGUCCUGGUCUGAGAGACGUCAAGUCCUGGUCUGAAAGAUGUUUAGGACUUGUCAGGUCCUGGUCUGAAAGACGUUUAGGACUCGUCAGGUCCUGGUCUGAAAGACGUCAAGUCCUGGUCUGAAAGACGUUUAAGACUCAUCAGGUCCUGGUCUGAGAGACGUUUAAGACUAGUCAGGUCCUGGUUUAAGAGAACUCAAAGACGUGUUAGGUCCUGGUCUAAGAGAAGUCAAAGAUGUGUUAGGUCCUGGUCUAAGAGACGUUUAAGACUCGUCAGGUGCUGGUCUGAGAGACGUCAGGUCCUGGUCUGAGAGACGUUUAAGACUCGUCAGGACCUGGUCUGAGAGACGUUUAAGACUAGUCAGGUCCUGGUUUAAGAGAAGUCAAAGACGUGUUAGGUCCUGGUCUAAGAGACGUUUAAGACUCGUCAGGUGCUGGUCUUAGAGACGUCAGGUCCUGGUCUGAGAGACGUUUAGGACUCGUCAGGUCCUGGUCUGAGAGAAGUCAAGUCCUGGUCUGAGAGACGUUUAAGACUAGUCAGGUCCUGGUCUGAGAGACGUUUAAGACUAGUCAGGUCCUGGUUUAAGAGAAGUCAAAGACGUGUUAGGUCCUGGUCUGAGAGACGUCAAGUCCUGGUCUGAGAGAAGUCAAGGACUCGUCAGGUCCUGGUCUAAGAGAAGUCAAAGACGUGUUAGGUCCUGGUCUGAGAGACGUUUAAGACUCAUCAGGUCCUGGUCUGAGAGAAGUCAAGUCCUGGUCUUAUAGACGUUUAAGACACGUCAGGUCCUGGUCUAAGAGACGUUUAACACUCAUCAGGUCCUGGUCUGAGAGAAGUCAAGUCCUGGUCUGAGAGAAGUCAAGGACUCCUGUCAGGUCCUGGUCUGAGAGAAGUCAAGGACUCCUGUCAGGUCCUGGUCUGAGAGAAGUCAAGGACUCCUGUCAGGUCCUGGUCUGAGAGAAGUCAAGGACUCCUGUCAGGUCCUGGUAAUUAGGACUCUUCAGGUUUAGAAAAUAUUUCUAAUGAAGUCUGUUGAUGACAUUUUGUCUGACAGGUCACCUCUCAGCCAAUCACAGGGGUGUAACGGUUCAGAAACAGAGACCAAAUCCGCAAUCUAACGUCCAUGUUCUAGAGUCGCUGUUCCGUCUUUCUGCUGUACCCAAAACAUACCGACAGUGAAUUCUGUGUACCGUUACACCCCUAGUUGACGUAGUGAGUAGGGCCAUUCAUGGCCCGUGAUGUCACCGUGAUGUCAGAGGAAACCGAGUGGGACAUCAGGUCCUGGGUCAGUCAGUUAGCAGUCUCUACCUGAGCUGUACCGGCUGAACAAACUCUUUCCGGAAGCGUUUGAGUUCAGCGCUGAGCGGCUGCUCUCCUCCCUCCAUCUGAUCCGCCUCGCUGGGCCUCGGCUCCGGGAUCUCGAACCUGAACACAACAACAUGGCAGACCUGGGAUCAGUGCUUGGCUCACAGCUUCAGCAGAGACAGAGAAGAGAUAAAGGGAUGUCAGACUGGUCCUGCCCAGGAGGAGCUGGGACAGGAAAACUACUCUUCUACAGGAUUUAUGAACCGGAAGACUCACAGCAGACAGGAACAGAGCAGCGUCUCCUUGUGGGCACCACAUCUUCAUGUUUCAUGCUUGUUAAACCCUCUUAUCAUGAAUCCUCCAUGCUUUGUCCGCGUCAUUUAAAACCUUACAGUUGGUCUACAAAGCACUUCCUGGACUGGCUCCUCCUUACCUGUCUGGCCUUUCUCUUUGUUUAUCAGCUGAUUCUGGGAAAACUGUGUGACCUCCAUGAUAACAGUUACACAGCCUAUCAGUGAAUUAUUAUGUGAAGAAAUAAAAUCAAAGUAUUAAAAAAUUGGAUUUCUGGUCUAAAUCCUCUAAAACUGUAUUGAAGCGGUCUGAUUGGUCCUUGUGUUGUCCGACAGGUGAGCUCACCUCUCCAUGAGCAGGUCCAGCAGCUCCUGAGGUUUACAGAAAGACCUAUAGGUGGUCAGAAAUGUUCGGACAAAGUUUGGAUCUGGAGGAAACAGAAAUAGGAAGCAGACUGACGGUCAAUAAUCACUGUGAUCAGACAAAAGAGGACAACAAAAACACGAAGGAUUUAUUUCCGAUGAGGAUUAUCACUGAUUUCAUAUGAGCCAGAUUAAAAUGUCCUUCUGAAAGACAGAAGGAGCAUAUCAAGUCUAACCUGGUCCUCUUAAUAAACACCUGAGUGACAUCACGCCUCACCUGGUCCCGUUAAUAAACACCCGAGUGACAUCACGCCUCACCUGGUCCUCUUAAUAAACACCUGAAUGACA
This is a long non-coding RNA of Micropterus dolomieu (smallmouth bass), 4504 nucleotides long. RefSeq lists it as uncharacterized. The transcript has 2 exons. The record is from RefSeq and is a predicted model, not a curated record. Lineage: Eukaryota; Metazoa; Chordata; Actinopteri; Centrarchiformes; Centrarchidae.